This 224-nucleotide ribosomal RNA is filed under the name uncultured bacterium. RNAcentral describes it as "partial 16S ribosomal RNA". It matches the Rfam family "Bacterial small subunit ribosomal RNA", at positions 524 to 746 of the family's 1533-position model. The record is from RNAcentral.
UACGUAGGGCGCAAGCGUUGUCCGGAAUUAUUGGGCGUAAAGAGCUCGUAGGCGGUUUGUCGCGUCUGCUGUGAAAACCUAAGGCUCAACCUUGGGCUUGCAGUGGGUACGGGCAGACUAGAGUGCGGUAGGGGGUGACUGGAAUUCCUGGUGUAGCGGUGGAAUGCGCAGAUAUCAGGAGGAACACCGAUGGCGAAGGCAGGUCACUGGGCCGCAACUGACGC